GCGGAGGUUUCUGAUUCGUCUUGUUGUGAGUCCAAUGUUUCUGAAUUGGUGAAGGAAGUUAAACCUCGUUAUCCCAUUGCAGGUUCGAUGGGGGGUGUUCUAUGCCCGUGAACCUUACUUGAACGUUGAUUCUAGUCAUGUAACUCGCUUUCUUGGCCUUGCUCAAGUUGGAAACAAAAACAAACAGGUGUGUUCUUUGAUAGUUACUCUUGUCCUAAGAGCUUGGUACUUAUUGGUCACACCUAACACUCUUGGUAGUUAGCUUUAAUUUACUUAAGUGCUCAAUGCUUGGUAGAGUCUAGUAUCUUGGUAGUUAGCUUUAAUUAGGUUGUGAUGCAAGUAAUCUAUUAUUACAAGUUUUCAAAUUUUUGAAACUUAGAACCUUUAAUUGGUUCUAUCAUUGGAAGAUAUAAAACUAAACAAGUAUCUAAACUUUUUUAAUUUGAUUAUUUUCAAUUAAAAAUUUGUUUUAGAACUCUAAGACCAUAUCUAUUGUUGGAGAUGGUCUAAGAAAGGAAAAAACCUUGUGGUUUCUAAAAAAGUAUUUCACCCAAAAAGUAAUCAUAAAAAAAACAAAAAAUAUGAAAGAGAAUGUAGAAAAAUUUAGAACAGCUUAUUGUUUGAGAAACUAUGAAUAAAAGUUGAGAGAUUAGCUUUACAUUUGGUCCAGAAAAAUAAAAUUUAAUUAUAAUUUAGUUACUUCUAAAUAUUAAUAAAAUAAAAAAUUAUUUUGGAAAACUUAUGGUUGAUGAUGCUCUAAGAGUAACUUCAUUGGCAAGUUUCUCAAAUACAUCUCUUUCCUUUUGUUGGUUCAACUCGAUAUCGCGUGAUUACGCUGAGCCUCUCAACAAAGUGGCAACAUAUACUACAACUGUGAAAGAGGGCUCAUCAGGGAAGCCCGUUGUUGUUGCUGCUGCACCACCAAGGUCCAAGGAUCAAGAACGAGCUUUGAAACCAGUUAGAAAGUUUGAUCCAGAGCCAAGCGGUUAUACAUGGGACACGCUGAGGCUAAAGUGCUGAACAAGUAUUUCAAUGGAGCGCUGAACAAGUAUUUUGCCGAGCGAUAUGAUACGUUCCAGAGGAUUUAUCUAAGGGUCAGACUGGUUCAAACGCAGCGGUUGCAGUUGCGGUUGUGAGAGUUUACGGAUGCGGGUGGUUGCGGUUUCUAGCGGUUUUAAGAGAUUUGUACGACUGAUUAUGCGGUUAGAAAUUGGUGUGUUUGCGGGAUACUUACGACUGGUUAACUACCACAUAC
This is a long non-coding RNA of Brassica oleracea var. oleracea, 1255 nucleotides long. RefSeq lists it as uncharacterized. NCBI's taxonomy places the organism in Eukaryota, Viridiplantae, Streptophyta, Magnoliopsida, Brassicales, Brassicaceae. The record is from RefSeq and is a predicted model, not a curated record. The transcript is spliced from 3 exons.